This 443-nucleotide ribosomal RNA is filed under the name uncultured bacterium. RNAcentral's name for it is "partial 16S ribosomal RNA". It matches the Rfam family "Bacterial small subunit ribosomal RNA", at positions 338 to 795 of the family's 1533-position model. The record is from RNAcentral.
CCUACGGGUGGCAGCAGUGGGGAAUAUUGGGCAAUGGGCGAAAGCCUGACCCAGCAAUGCCGCGUGAAUGAAGAAGGUCUUAGGAUUGUAAAAUUCUGUCCUAUGGGAAGAAAAAAAUGACGGUACCAUAGGAGGAAGCCCCGGCUAACUACGUGCCAGCAGCCGCGGUAAUACGUAGGGGGCGAGCGUUGUCCGGAAUUACUGGGCGUAAAGAGAGCGUAGGCGGCACUACAAGUCUCAUGUGAAAUACCCGGGCUUAACUUGGGGGUUGCAUGGGAAACUGUAGAGCUUGAGUACAGGAGAGGCAAGCGGAAUUCCUAGUGUAGCGGUGAAAUGCAUAGAUAUUAGGAGGAACACCAGUGGCGAAGGCGGCUUGCUGGACUGAAACUGACGCUGAGGCUCGAAAGCGUGGGGAGCAAACAGGAUUAGAUACCCCAGUAGUC